CAGUGAUGCCUAUCAACUGUUUAAAAAAGAUGGUUCUGCUAUCACUCUUGGAUGGACCUGCGGUGCAUUAGCUAGUUGGUAGGGUAACGGCCUACCAAGGCGAUGAUGCAUAGCCGAGUUGAGAGACUGAUCGGCCACAUUGGGACUGAGACACGGCCCAAACUCCUACGGGAGGCAGCAGUAGGGAAUCUUCCACAAUGGACGCAAGUCUGAUGGAGCAACGCCGCGUGAGUGAAGAAGGGUUUCGGCUCGUAAAGCUCUGUUGUUGGUGAAGAAGGACAGGGGUAGUAACUGACCUUUGUUUGACGGUAAUCAAUUAGAAAGCCACGGGCUAACUACGUGCCAGCAGCCGCGGUAAAU
RNAcentral lists this ribosomal RNA (360 nucleotides) under uncultured Lactobacillus sp. RNAcentral describes it as "bacterial SSU rRNA". It matches the Rfam family "Bacterial small subunit ribosomal RNA", at positions 181 to 525 of the family's 1533-position model. Lineage: Bacteria; Bacillati; Bacillota; Bacilli; Lactobacillales; Lactobacillaceae. The record is from RNAcentral.